AAGCUCGUAGGUGAAUUUCGGGGUCUGUCCAUUGGUCGGGCUUUACGGUCCGUACUGGUGGGAUAGGCUCCUACCUUCUGAAUAACCAGCAUGCCAUUUCGGAGUCUGGUGCGUUGGGGAAGCAGAGCUAUUACCUUGAAAAAUUAGAGUGCUAAAGCAGGCUAGUGCUGUGAAAUAGAUUAGCAUGGAAUAAUAAAAUAGGACGGCAUGGUUCUAUUUUGUUGGUUUCUAGGAUCACCGUCAUGAUUAAUAGGGAUAGUUGGG
Molecule: ribosomal RNA, 264 nt
Filed under: Acaulospora sp.
Lineage: Eukaryota; Fungi; Glomeromycota; Glomeromycetes; Diversisporales; Acaulosporaceae
Description: partial small subunit ribosomal RNA
Rfam family: Eukaryotic small subunit ribosomal RNA
Source: RNAcentral